GGAAUAUUGCACAAUGGGCGCAAGCCUGAUGCAGCCAUGCCGCGUGUGUGAAGAAGGCCUUCGGGUUGUAAAGCACUUUCAGUCGUGAGGAAGGUAGUGUAGUUAAUAGCUGCAUUAUUUGACGUUAGCGACAGAAGAAGCACCGGCUAACUCCGUGCCAGCAGCCGCGGUAAUACGGAGGGUGCGAGCGUUAAUCGGAAUUACUGGGCGUAAAGCGCAUGCAGGUGGUUUGUUAAGUCAGAUGUGAAAGCCCGGGGCUCAACCUCGGAAUAGCAUUUGAAACUGGCAGACUAGAGUACUGUAGAGGGGGGUAGAAUUUCAGGUGUAGCGGUGAAAUGCGUAGAGAUCUGAAGGAAUACCGGUGGCGAAGGCGGCCCCCUGGACAGAUACUGACACUCAGAUGCGAAAGCGUGGGGAGCAAACAGGAUUAGAUACCCUGGUAGUCC
Molecule: ribosomal RNA, 446 nt
Filed under: uncultured bacterium
Lineage: Bacteria
Description: bacterial SSU rRNA
Rfam family: Bacterial small subunit ribosomal RNA
Source: RNAcentral